This 431-nucleotide ribosomal RNA is filed under the name uncultured bacterium. RNAcentral describes it as "bacterial SSU rRNA". It matches the Rfam family "Bacterial small subunit ribosomal RNA", at positions 28 to 437 of the family's 1533-position model. The record is from RNAcentral.
GAUGAACGCUGGCGGCGUGCUUAACACAUGCAAGUCGAACGAAGUUGCUUUAAGGAAGGUUUCGGCUGGAAUUAAAGUAGCUUUAGUGGCGGACGGGUGAGUAACGUGUGGGCAACCUACCUUGUACUGGGGAAUAAUCACUGGAAACGGUGACUAAUACCGCAUACGGUCUUUGGAAGGCAUCUUCUGAAGAAGAAAGGAUUUAUUCGGUAUAAGAUGGGCCCGCAUCUGAUUAGCUAGUUGGUGAGAUAACAGCCCACCAAGGCGACGAUCAGUAGCCGACCUGAGAGGGUGAUCGGCCACAUUGGGACUGAGACACGGGCCCAAACUCCUACGGGAGGCAGCAGUGGGGAAUAUUGCACAAUGGGGGAAACCCUGAUGCAGCAACGCCGCGUGAAGGAAGAAGGUUUUUCGGAUCGUAAACUUCUAUC